UACGAAGGGGGCUAGCGUUGCUCGGAAUCACUGGGCGUAAAGCGCACGUAGGCGGAUUGUUAAGUCAGGGGUGAAAUCCUGGAGCUCAACUCCAGAACUGCCCUUGAUACUGGCGGUCUCGAGUCCGGGAGAGGUGAGUGGAACUGCGAGUGUAGAGGUGAAAUUCGUAGAUAUUCGCAAGAACACCAGUGGCGAAGGCGGCUCACUGGCCCGGUACUGACGCUGAGGUGCGAAAGCGUGGGGAGCAAACAGG
This 253-nucleotide ribosomal RNA is filed under the name uncultured bacterium. Its description in RNAcentral is "partial 16S ribosomal RNA". It matches the Rfam family "Bacterial small subunit ribosomal RNA", at positions 524 to 776 of the family's 1533-position model. The record is from RNAcentral.